RNAcentral lists this ribosomal RNA (269 nucleotides) under uncultured prokaryote. RNAcentral describes it as "partial 16S ribosomal RNA". It matches the Rfam family "Bacterial small subunit ribosomal RNA", at positions 524 to 792 of the family's 1533-position model. The record is from RNAcentral.
UACGGAGGUUGCAAGCGUUGUUCGGAAUGACUGGGCGUAAAGGUAGCGCAGGCGGCCAAGUCAGUCUGAAGUGAAAGCCCGGGGCUUAACCCCGGAAUAGCUUUGGAUACUGCCUGGCUUGAGUGCGCGAUAGGAAAGCGGAAUUCCAGGUGUAGCGGUGAAAUGCGUAGAUAUCUGGAGGAACACCGGUGGCGAAAGCGGCUUUCUGGCGCAUAACUGACGCUGAGGCUCGAAAGCGUGGGGAGCAAACAGGAUUAGAUACCCCUGUA